RNAcentral lists this unclassified non-coding RNA (500 nucleotides) under Hevea brasiliensis (rubber tree). The record is from RNAcentral. Lineage: Eukaryota; Viridiplantae; Streptophyta; Magnoliopsida; Malpighiales; Euphorbiaceae.
GCUAAGAGAAAUAAGAAGAAAGACAAAGGACAGAAUUUUGGAAGAGAGGACUGUAUCUUAUUAGUCAAUUGAUGGAUGAUUUACAAAUACAAUGACCCUCCUAUUUAUACUACUCUAAUGACUAAGAGUAAAUAAAUGCUGCUAUACAAGUCCCUAAGUACAUGCACUCAAGACAUGUCUACAUUCCUAGAAUGUCUCUAACUCUUCCAAAAGGACUCCUAGAUUUCUCUUAGUCUGCCCCAAGAUUCUAGAAAGGCUUGAACAAGCCCCUCCAAGGCUCAAGGCUGCCUGCUUUCCGUCUGCUGCACACUUGGACCGCCUGCCCCUUCGUACGCUGGACUUUUGGGCCGCCUGUCCCCUUUCGCAUGCUGCAAUCUGCCUGGAUAGGUGGCGAUCCGCUUGGAUAGGUGACGGGACGUCACAAUCUCCAUGUAUUUGGUCAAAAACUCUAAAUGUAGCAGAACUUUUUUUAGAAAAAAGAGUGUUAAGGUUGAAUAUUU